AAAAUAAUGACUUUGGGCGGGUGCUAAUGGGCCGGUGGGUUGACGGGUUAUAGAUACGGUUUGAAUCGGAUUGAGAUGGGCGGGCCCGGGUAGCAAAAACCAAACCGUGGGUACCCUCACCCGCCCAAGGAAGAGAGUUAUGUAAAACUAAGUCGUUUUGCGCUACUAGGUUUACUCUCAAUCUGUUUCACUCUCAGUCGUAGCAAGCAAAUGAAACAAAAACGAAUCCCUAGCUCUCCUUUCCCUGUCACGUAAGAAAACACCACCAUCAACCACCAUCAACCACCACCACUCUUCUUUUGGCAUUCAUUCUACUAUUUAUGUUUGGGUUCUCAUUUUUGUUGUUCUUGUCUAUAGAUGGAGCGUCAACAAAAUAGUAGCCAAAGAUCCACAGAGCCUGGGACCAAACCAGUUUUAUUUCCUUCAUGUUGUUAUGUUCUUCAUUGUGUUGUGUAUGUGAAGUUGGUGUUUAUUGUUGUGCUGGUGGUUGGAGUGUUGAGUGGAAAUGGGGAGUUGUGGGUUUUAUUGAUGGCGGUGUUGGUGGGAACAAAACAAUUGGCUUUUUGUGUUUUUGGGUUUUGAAGGUGAUAAUGGGGAUGUUUGGUUUGAAAAAGUUUGAUUUUUAAAUUUGGGUUUUUGGGUUUUGAAGGUGAUAAUGGAGGUGAAGGUGGUCAAGAAAUUCAGGUUCCAGUAUUCAAAGAGUAUGGUCUGAUUGAACUCAGAAGAUCCACACACGAGUUCAGCACGACUUAAUGCUCCACGAUUUCUGCUAAGAGUUUGAGGUUACUUGACUUGAUAAUUUUGGAGGGUAUAUCAGAAUUGAAGUACUUGCAGACAGUGCUUACUAUGUUGCUCAUGAGGUACUAUGACGGAGUUAUGACAAGGAAAUAGUCAUUUGGAGUGGAGGCAUCAUAUUUUAUAUUUUCUUUAGUGGUGUAUCACCUUUCUGGGCUGGUAAGAUCAACUUGUAUUUUCAAAAUGUGAUACUAUAUUUAUAGUUUUUGGUUGAGAUUCUGAUUUAAAAAUUAACACAUAUAUGUGUGGUUAAUUUUCUUAACUGGAUUGGAAAGGGAAUAUUUAAUGUCAUAUUGGAAGGAGAACUUGACUUUGUUAGACAAUCAAUAUUCAGACAGUGCAAAAGAUCUAGUCAGGAAGAUACUGAUUUAUGAUGUAGUCAUUUAGAUUUAAGUUGAAUUUUGACGUAUGUUGAGUUUAUGUUGAAUUUAAAUUGUAGUUCAAAAUGUGUUAUUGGGCUCAACAAAAAAUCAACCCAAUAACCCGAUUAAACCGCUUGUCGUAACCCGCGGCCCAUCAUAACCCAACCCGACCAAACCGAUUAAGAAAAUGGGCGGAAAUGGGUUUAUAUUCUUCAACCGCGGGUUCGGUUGGGUGAGGUUUUUGGGCCCGAAACCGCCCAACCCGGCCCGUUGUCCAACCGUAACUUACGCCCAAUAACAACCUCGCGUUUUAUUUUUAUUUACUGUAGAAAAUAAAAACUACCCACUCCUUCAUAUAAUACUCUCUCGAUUCCAUGACGAGUGGUCUAUUUAGAAUAAAAUGAUGUUUUAAAAUAAAUGAGUCAUUUCAAUUUUUAAUGCACUUUUUUCAAUUUUAUUUUCAUAAACCAUUUAUAAUAGAGGUGUUGAAAAAAUUAUUCAAAAGUGAUGUGGAUUAAUAUGUGUGUGCCCAUGUAUAUUACUUUGCAAAAUUUUAUUGGUUGUUGUGAUUGUUUAAAAUGGUGGGAUUGGAUGUUGAAUUUUAUUAAACAAAAUCAUUGUAGUGAGUAAAACUUAAAUGAGUGUUGAAUUAUUAUGUAGAAGAAAGAGAAGAUGAUGUGGAAAAUAAAAAGUGAAAAAAAGAGGGUGUUGAAUAUGCAAAGUUGCAAACCAUUGUACAUAGCUUAAUUACUCAAAAUUUCACAAUUCUCAAUACACGAUACGGGUAUUAUAGUAAAAACUUUAUUCUCUUACUUUUAUACACUUUUUAAAUCUGUAUUAAAUGGUGGGCUGAGUCACUAAUUGUGGA
Long non-coding RNA from Vicia villosa (hairy vetch), 2025 nucleotides. RefSeq lists it as uncharacterized. NCBI's taxonomy places the organism in Eukaryota, Viridiplantae, Streptophyta, Magnoliopsida, Fabales, Fabaceae. The record is from RefSeq and is a predicted model, not a curated record. The transcript has 5 exons.